Trichechus manatus latirostris (Florida manatee) is the source of this 3891-nucleotide long non-coding RNA. RefSeq lists it as uncharacterized. The record is from RefSeq and is a predicted model, not a curated record. The transcript has 4 exons. NCBI's taxonomy places the organism in Eukaryota, Metazoa, Chordata, Mammalia, Sirenia, Trichechidae.
UGGGGAGCGCAGGGAACGCCGGGAGCCGAAGGUGCCGGUCCCGCGCGUGCGGAGGCUGCAGGCCGGUUGAGAAAUCCCCCUCCUCCAGGCCUGAAAGGUGGACUUUGGGAGUGGCUUCAGUUCUGAGUUAGUCCACUUUUCUCUUACUGCCUCAAAUAAGCGUGGAGCUGGAAUAGAGAAUAUCAGCCUGCAGUGAGAACCAGAUUCAGCUCUGGAGUUUGGUCAGAGACCUGGUGAGCAGUGUGAAGUUCAUCCACGAGGCCGAGGGCGCUCCUUUCCCAGGUGCAGGUCGUUGAGGAAGGAGUAGAAGACUGCCUGGCUAAAAAGACAUCAUCUGAUCCAGAUUCACCUCCACAGUUGAGAAGAAUGCCCUGGCAGGUAUGGCUGAGAAACAAGAUGGAAAGCAUCUGAAUGAUUGCAUGGUGCAGACAGGAACACAGGCACUAAUUAAGAAACGAAUUUCUGUCUUUGUUGAGCCAUUGCGUUUUGGGUCUCUUGUUACAGCAGUUAACGUUAUACUGAUAGGAUUAUAUAUUAAGAAACAGAGGAAGUAAGGUUAAAAUCAGGUAAUGGGUUUAAAGUGCUAGGAGGAGUAGUUGGGUCUUAGAAGCCUUGGAGAAGUAUUGCAGGUUCUUAAACCAGGGCACGCUGUGAUGGAGGUGGCGUGUCAGGAGGAUCAGACUGGUAGCAUAUAAAGCCUCCACCAAGGGGUUAAACAACCGUGAGCCUCAGACAGACCAGGGUAUCGCGUGUGGAAACAAAGUAAAAGAAAGAGGAAGGACAAUAACCAAGACAUAUUUCAAAGAGACGCCUCGGUGACCUGUUGGAUAUGGGGAAUGCUGGAUAACCAGGAGUCAGAAAAAAAAAGUCCCAGAUUUUUAAUCUGCGAAACUGAUGAUAUAGCAGGAAUGACUGUUGCGAAAAUGGAAAUAUAUAGAUUAAUUUCAAAAAUUCACGAAGAGUUUGGAGUGUGGCCGCAGGCCCAGAUCCUGUCAUCAAUUUUGCCUGGUAUCCUCCCUAUCCAGCAGGAGACCGUGUGCCACCAUUUCUAGAGCAAAUUAAAGGGGAAAAGGGACAGUUUCUAAAGUAAGAAUUACAACUCUGAGGAAACCUGCCCCACUCAGCUAUUUUCAUUUAAGGAACCGAAACAUAAGUUCAGCGAACACCCAGAGAAAUGAAAAUUUCAAAAAUCAGUCAUAAAACAUUCAUUUUUUAAAAAGUCUCUUUCUUUUAAUCUUAUGUGAAUAUCGUGUACCAAAAAACCAAAUCCAUUGCUGUCAAGUUGAUUCCGACUCACAGUGACCCUAUAGGACAGAAUAGAACUGCCCCAUAGGGCUUCCAAGGCUGUAAAUCUUUGUGGAAGCAGACUGCCAUGUCUUUCUCCUGAGGAGUGACUGGUGGAUUCAGACUGCCGACCUUUCAGUUCGCAGCUGAGUACUUUAACCUCUGUGCCACCUGGGCUUCUUUAUAUUGUGUGGGCCCUAUUAAAUAUGCUGUAGUUUUCCGUGUAUAGCACUGCUUGGAAGUUUGACACAGUAUACUGCCUUGGUUUCUGUAUCUUCAGUGAUGAUCUGAUUUUUCACAAACAUGAGAUCCAAUAAUGACUUUUUCAGAGGUAGAAUUUGCAUUUUUCAGAACUAGUGAUGAAGUCAUUGUCAUUGUCCCCUUAAAGCCACGCAAUGUCUCUAAUACAUCUCAACCCAGGAGAGUUAAAUUUUAAGGUCGGACAGAACCCUCUAGAUCUUUUAGUUUAGCUCCAUUUUAUACAUGAGGAAACUGAGACACAGAAAGUUCAAGUACUUGGCCCAAGUUCACACACCUAGUUAGCUGAUGACUUGAGACUGGAAGCCAGACCUCCAUACUCCUAGUCUGGGUCUUUUUUUUACUAUGCCACAUUGCCUUUCAGAAUAUAAUCUGUUUCACCAAGGAAUAUAUACAAAUGGCCAACAAGCACGUGAAAAGAUGCUCGACGUCAUUAGUCAUUAGGGAGAUGCAAAUCAAAACCACAGUGAGAUAUCACUUCACACCCACUAGGAUGGCUAUGAUUAAAAAAAUGGAAAACAACGGGUGUUGGUGAGGCCAUGGCGAAACUGGGCCCCUCAUCCAUUGCUAGUGUAAAAUGGUGCAGAACCGUGGCAGUUCCUCAGAAAGUUGAACAGUCACCAUAUGGUCCAGUAAUUAUCCCCCUUCUAGGUGUAGAUCAAAAAGAAUGAAAAGCAGGAGUGCAAACAGAUCCUUUUACACCGGUGUUAAUUGUAGCAUUACUCACAAUAGCCAAAAAGUGGAAACAGCCUGAAUGCCCAUCAACAGACGAAUGGAUAAACAGAAGGUGGUGUGCACCUGCAGUGGAGAUAAAGAGAAAUGAAGUCCCGAUCCGCGCUGCAACAUGGAUGAACCUUGAAGACAUUAUGCUGAGAGAAAUACAUCAGACACAGAAGAAAAAUAUUUCAUAUAAAUGAUCCCUAGAAUAGGCAGGUGUGUAGAGAUCAGAGUUGAUUAGUGGUUAUCAAGGGUGGGCAGGAGGGGGCAGAAAGGGGGACUCAGUGUCUAGAGGACACUGAGCUUCGUUAAGGGCGAUGGUAUAGUUUGGGAAUGGAUACGGGUGACGGCCGAUGAACGCGGUGAACAUAAUUGAUGCCACUGAACUGUACGUGUGAAGACUUACAAUGCAGAUGUUUUGUUACCUAUGUAUAUACCGCAAUUAAAAAAUACGGUCCAAGACAUAAACCAAUAUGAACAUAUUUCUUAGCUGACUAGUAGCCGUAGUCUUACGAAUAAAAAUGCUGAUGUGUGGAGUGCUUAGGCCUCCAGGCUCGCUGUCCUUUUUCAUGCCCUUUUUCCAAAAGUCCUCAGGCCAUUGUCUCUGUGGGAAAAAUGAGAAUCAUCCUUCUGUUUUUUCAUUGAAGGCAUCCACUGUAUCUUAUUAACUUUUAUUCUCCAUGGUGAUUAGUACACUGCCCUGAAUAUUGUAGAUGUGCAGUAAAUACCUAAUGAAGCAUAAAUGGGUAAACAUUGCAUCACCCUAGUAUUUAUAGGAGUGACAGUGUAUCAUCUCUAGGUAUUAGGUAUUAAAUGAUUGUGUACCUGUUACAUUCCGAGCACUGUGCUAGGCAGUAGAAACAUAAAGGACAAAUCAUGUUGUGUCCCAGCAUAAAGGACCUUAGAGUCCAGGGGGCACACAGACCUGCCAUUCCAGUACAAGGUGAUUCGUGCUGAAACGGGAGGGGGAGCAGGACGCAGUGGGGCAUUGGGUCUUCCCUCCUGCUUUGCUGAGCUCAGAAGAUUUCCUGUUCUGCCCAACACUGUCUCACCUUUUGUCACUUAGGCCCCAAAAAGGAUUGCUUGUGCCCAAAGUCUCACAGACUCUGUCAUGAGUACAGUUCCUUUAUCUUCUGGCCCUGACCCCUUCUCCACUGUCACUCCAGACCAUCAUCAGACUGGUGGUAGCAGCAGAUACCACCCCAUCUUCUCCACUGUCCUUACUUUCCCAUGUAUCUCUUGAGCAUCCUUGCACCAGACCUCUUCCAUACUUCUGCAGCUACAUUCACCAUGUAAGUUAACUCAUGUCAGUGAGGAGGUGGACAGUGGAAGUGGUGUUUAACUCAUUUAUCCCAGCAUGUGAGUCCCAGUGAGAACACCUGGGUGAUCCAUGAGAGAAAGCUCACCCUCUCAGCAGAGUGGAAGAUGGAGGGAAGGGGAGUGCAGGACCAGAGGCACACACUUAGUCUUAAUUCCAAGAUUAGAAGAAAAUGAUCAUAAUAAUGGAGGGUAGAGAAGAUGAGGGCUUGAAUUAAGGUAGCGGCUUUGGGAAAUAAAGGAGGAGCCUUGGUGGCGUAGUGGUUAAGCGCUUGGCUGCUAAUCAAAAGGUCGGCAGUUCGAACCCACCAGCCA